CCUACGGGAGGCAGCAGUGGGGAAUAUUGCACAAUGGGGGAAACCCUGAUGCAGCGACGCCGCGUGAGUGAAGAAGUAUUUCGGUAUGUAAAGCUCUAUCAGCAGGGAAGAAGAAAGACGGUAGCUGACUAAGAAGCCUCGGCCAACUACGUGCCAGCAGCCGCGGUAAUACGGAGGGGGCAAGCGUUAGACGGAUUUACUGGUGGUAAAGGGAGCGGAGACGGCUGUGCAAGGCAGCAGUGAAAGCCCAGGGCUCAACCCUGUGACUGUUUUGGAAACUGUGGAGCUAGAGUGCUGGAGAGGUAAGUGGAAUUCCUAGUGUAGCGGUGAAAUGCGUAGAUAUUAGGAGGAACACCAGUGGCGAAGGCGGCUUACUGGACAGUAACUGACGUUGAGGCUCGAAAGCGUGGGGAGCAAACAGGAUUAGAUACCCUUGUAGUC
RNAcentral lists this ribosomal RNA (441 nucleotides) under uncultured bacterium. Its description in RNAcentral is "partial 16S ribosomal RNA". It matches the Rfam family "Bacterial small subunit ribosomal RNA", at positions 338 to 795 of the family's 1533-position model. The record is from RNAcentral.